Trifolium pratense (red clover) is the source of this 582-nucleotide long non-coding RNA. RefSeq lists it as uncharacterized. The transcript has 2 exons. NCBI's taxonomy places the organism in Eukaryota, Viridiplantae, Streptophyta, Magnoliopsida, Fabales, Fabaceae. The record is from RefSeq and is a predicted model, not a curated record.
CUCUAAACUCUCCACCGUUCAAUACCAACAUUCAUCCUCACCUCACUUAAAUUCAACUGUUUUUUUCACCAUGUAGAAGUUCAAAUUGGUGAUGCAUUAGCCCCUAACGGCCGCACCACCUUCUGACCCUCGUUGGGGUUGCUAAACCUGUUUUGGUUCGUUCAACCGUCGUCGGCACCAUCCCGGUGGUCGUUUUCUCUUGCAUAUGUGCUAGAGUGCUUCGAUCUGGUGUUUCGGAUAUGCUUUCGUAAGCAGAUCUCACCUCUCCUCCAGCGGUGGUAGUUGUUCAGUUGGAUUGUCUUCUCCUAUCCAGCCUUUGUUGAGUUUUUAGUUUCAAUAUCAGUCACGCAAGUUGUCGGUUAGUGCAUCUGUUACCGUGUUCGCCGUUCCACAAGAGAUGAAAUCAAUUUUGUCAAGCUCAUCUCUAGUUUGUUUUGAUGUUUACGGCAUUUUACACAUCUAUUUUUUUAUUUUAUUUUUGCAAUUUGGUUUCGGGCUCCACAUUGGGUUUGCUAUAUUGUGCCUUGGUGUAUAUUUGUCUUGCUAGCAUUUGUUUUAUCUACAAGUAUUUGUAUACUAUGA